GGUGUGAUGGCGGAAAUGGCUAACGCGCGUGGCUGCAGUCCACGAGACUUCCGGUUCGAGUCCGGAUCGCACCU
This 74-nucleotide transfer RNA is filed under the name Plesiocystis pacifica. RNAcentral's name for it is "tRNA-Cys". It matches the Rfam family "tRNA". From Rfam's summary of the family: Transfer RNA (tRNA) molecules are approximately 80 nucleotides in length. Their secondary structure includes four short double-helical elements and three loops (D, anti-codon, and T loops). Further hydrogen bonds mediate the characteristic L-shaped molecular structure. tRNAs have two regions of fundamental functional importance: the anti-codon, which is responsible for specific mRNA codon recognition, and the 3' end, to which the tRNAs corresponding amino acid is attached (by aminoacyl-tRNA synthetases). tRNAs cope with the degeneracy of the genetic code in two manners: having more than one tRNA (with a specific anti-codon) for a particular amino acid; and 'wobble' base-pairing, i.e. permitting non-standard base-pairing at the 3rd anti-codon position. Lineage: Bacteria; Pseudomonadati; Myxococcota; Nannocystales; Nannocystaceae. RNAcentral also lists the same sequence under 1 other name. The record is from RNAcentral.